Molecule: ribosomal RNA, 468 nt
Filed under: uncultured bacterium
Lineage: Bacteria
Description: partial 16S ribosomal RNA
Rfam family: Bacterial small subunit ribosomal RNA
Source: RNAcentral
GACGAACGCUGGCGGCGUGCUUAACACAUGCCAGUCGAACGGAAAGGCCCUGCUUUUGUGGGGUGCUCGAGUGGCGAACGGGUGAGUAACACGUGAGUAACCUGCCCUUGACUUUGGGAUAACUUCAGGAAACUGGGGCUAAUACCGGAUAGGAGCUCCUGCUGCAUGGUGGGGGUUGGAAAGUUUCGGCGGUUGGGGAAGGACUCGCGGCUUAUCAGCUUGUUGGUGGGGUAGUGGCUUACCAAGGCUUUGACGGGUAGCCGGCCUGAGAGGGUGACCGGCAACAUUGGGACUGAGAUACGGCCCAGACUCCUACGGGAGGCAGCAGUGGGGAAUAUUGCACAAUGGGCGGAAGCCUGAUGCAGCAACGCCGCGUGCGGGAUGACGGCCUUCGGGUUGUAAACCGCUUUCGCCUGUGACGAAGCGUGAGUGACGGUAAUGGGUAAAGAAGCACCGGCUAACUACGUG